This is a long non-coding RNA of Zingiber officinale, 523 nucleotides long. RefSeq lists it as uncharacterized. Lineage: Eukaryota; Viridiplantae; Streptophyta; Magnoliopsida; Zingiberales; Zingiberaceae. The record is from RefSeq and is a predicted model, not a curated record. The transcript is spliced from 5 exons.
ACUGCCAGGCGUGUGGCUGGACACUGCCAGGCGCUGGCUGGCCGGCGUCUGGCCGCCGGCGUGGGCCUUGCCGUGGCUAACCGCCGUCUCCCUCUGCAGCUGAAGAAGAAGCCCAAGAUCAUGCAGCAGCAUCUUGAUUAUUGUUUCCCUGGUUUAUGGCUAUCCAAGAUAACUCCUCGAUCCUACAAAGCCAAUGAAUAAGACAUGUGUUCUUAUAGUCCGUAUACAUUGUGAAGGUUGUAAGGAUAGGUCAGGAAGAAGGUGCAGAAGGUUCAAGAAGGAAAAUGUUUGUCUGGCAAACUCUAUAUCUGAAAUGCAUAUAUUUGGAGUAAUCUAUAAUAUCAAAUGGUUCUCAUACUUUGGCACAUGAAUCCAAUGAUUUGGGUAAAAAAGAUAAAAAGAAGAAAGGAACAAAAAGAGGAAGGCACUUUGAUAGAGAUUCUCGAGCUACUAAUCCAGAGGUCUCAAUUUGGUGUGAUCUCACUGUAGUUGAAGACAGCUGUAUUUGUUCACCUCUUUUCGG